CUCAUUAGCUCAGGUUUAAACACUUUGUACCAGAGUGAAUCGGAGUUGAACAACCUGCUACAAUUCGUUUUCACAGAGGGGGAGAAGAACAGUGGUUUGUCUCAAUUGCGUGAUGUUAUAUUAAACAACCUUGCUAACCAGUUACAGAAGAACCGCUUUGGUAGUGAGGAUGAUGACCACUACAGGCUGAACGAUGAACUGUUGCAGUGUAUCUUGAAGACUGUAGUGCGCGAGUCAUGUCUGCUCAUCACCAAAUGUCAAACCGUUUCC
Molecule: long non-coding RNA, 270 nt
Organism: Sinocyclocheilus rhinocerous
Lineage: Eukaryota; Metazoa; Chordata; Actinopteri; Cypriniformes; Cyprinidae
Exons: 3
Source: RefSeq, a predicted model, not a curated record